AACGAACGCUGGCGGCAUGCCUAACACAUGCAAGUCGAACGAGACCUUCGGGUCUAGUGGCGCACGGGUGCGUAACGCGUGGGAACCUGCCCUUAGGUUCGGAAUAACUCCCCGAAAGGGGUGCUAAUACCGGAUAAUGUCUUCGGACCAAAGAUUUAUCGCCUUUGGAUGGGCCCGCGCUGGAUUAGCUAGUUGGUAGGGUAAAAGCCUACCAAGGCGAGGAUCCAUAGCUGGUCUGAGAGGCUGAUCAGCCACACUGGGACGGAGAAACGGCCCAGACUACUAGGGGAGGGAGCAGAGGGUGAUACUGCCAAAUGGGCUGAAGCCAGAUCGAGCUAUGCUGGGUAAGCGAUGAAGGUCUGAGGGUAGUACAGCUCUUUAACCCGGGGCGAUAAUGACAGUACCGGGAGAAUAAGCUCCGGCUAACUUCGUG
This 433-nucleotide ribosomal RNA is filed under the name uncultured bacterium. RNAcentral's name for it is "partial 16S ribosomal RNA". It matches the Rfam family "Bacterial small subunit ribosomal RNA", at positions 29 to 507 of the family's 1533-position model. The record is from RNAcentral.